AUGAAUAAAACCUUCUAUGGUCAUACACCCAAUGGUGAUGGUUCAUUGAAUCUUGAUCAUAGUGAUACACAUAUUCAUAAUGUUGAUGCCAAAAGAUGCAAAGUUAAUAAUGAUAGUGCAACUUAUUUGUUGCACUGUCGUUUGGGUCAUAUCGGUGUAAAGCGCAUGAAGAAACUCCAUAAAGAUGGAUUUUCAGAAUCACUUGGUUAUGAAUCAUUUGAUGCUUGCGAACCGUGCCUUUUUGGCAAGAUGACUAAAACUCCGUUCUCCGGAACAAUGGAACGAGCUACUAACUUGUUGGAAAUAGUACAUACCGAUGUAUGUGGUCGAAUGAGUGUUGAUGCUCGUGGCUGGUAUCGUUAUUUUCUAACCUUCACAGAUGAUUUGAGCAGAUAUGUGUAUAUCUAG
RNAcentral lists this ribosomal RNA (408 nucleotides) under Triticum aestivum (bread wheat). RNAcentral's name for it is "partial small subunit ribosomal RNA". The record is from RNAcentral. Lineage: Eukaryota; Viridiplantae; Streptophyta; Magnoliopsida; Poales; Poaceae.